GAGGUAAAAGUUUUAAUCAGAUUAUAGCUAACGGGAGUGAUUUUUUCGUGCCUCGCAGCGAACAAUGACCUAGCUUGUUAAUUUUGUAAAGAAUCUGGAUAGCUUUCGAAGAGUCGGCUUGAAAUCUAGGCUACAAUGGCUAAAAGAAGAUAGGACUCGGUUUAUUCCUUGAGGGUCAAGAGUAAGAGAAAAAUAAUAUUUAGGUUGGCCAGAUCUA
Molecule: long non-coding RNA, 217 nt
Filed under: Phoenix dactylifera (date palm)
Lineage: Eukaryota; Viridiplantae; Streptophyta; Magnoliopsida; Arecales; Arecaceae
Description: long non-coding RNA (PDAC_LNC019419)
Source: RNAcentral